Molecule: long non-coding RNA, 2097 nt
Organism: Wyeomyia smithii (pitcher-plant mosquito)
Lineage: Eukaryota; Metazoa; Arthropoda; Insecta; Diptera; Culicidae
Exons: 3
Source: RefSeq, a predicted model, not a curated record
CCGUUAUGAGGGGGUGCAUCGCGUGCAGUGGGACCAGACGACGAAUAAUUUCUCGCUUAAGCAACGAUUCCCACUAAGAGCAAAAAAAUGUGAGCAGUUAAGGUGAAAGCACGAUAUCAUGUCAACACUUGGUCCAGGAAAGUUAUUACCACACUUGGAAAAUUAAUUUUGCCAACGAAAAUAGAACCUUUCCUUGGCGAGGAGAAUAACAUUAUCGUCAUAUAUUUUUAUUAGGGAUAACCUAUCCUGCUGCAUAAAAUAUGCAUUUUCAGGUGAAACUUGCAUAUUUCAAGAGGCUACUCUACUGCGUUCAUGUUAUUAAUUUUUUGCGUGAGUUCGUUCGCGAGUGGAUUUUACACCUACUUUAAGGUGAAACUGUGUUGAAGCCACAAACGGCCGACUUUGAGUCACCACUUCGAAUUUUCAAAAGCACAAGACUCAGAAAUAUUUAAUGCGUUCCCUGUGAAAAUGCUAUUUAAUGUUUGCUUCACCACAGCAAACAUAAAGUAGUGUUUUCACAGAAGACGCAGUGAGUCUUGGCCUUUGGAAAUUUGGAGUGGUGGCUCGAAGUCGGUCAUUUGGGGCUUCAACACAGUUUCACAUUUUCAGACACUAGGAUUUUUAAUAUGAGAAAAAAAACUCACCAUUUCGCAUGUUGUCACACUUAUUGUGAACUAGUUUCGUUUACAUCGAAUAAGUUUAGCAAUGCGGUUGGUGUCAAUAUUUUUUUCGAACUAUUUUAUAUUUUUAUAACAUUAAUUUCCUUGAUAUUUUUACAGUUUUCAGCACAAAAAAGUGCAACAUAUAUGAACGCAACUCUGAAAUCCCAGUGAAAGAAGUGUUUGAUCGGAAAUGGAACCAAACAGUAAAGGUUCACGUUUUAGCCUUUUACGUUAAAAAAAUCCGUUUUGGCGCAAAAAGGCCGUUUAAAAAUUAAUCGCUUCCCUGAUUAAAUUUUUCCCCAGUUGUUUUUCAGUUUUCCUUGAUUUUCCUCAUUGAAAAAUGAAUUCCCUGAUAUUCCCUGCUUUUCGAGGUUUUCUACACCCUGUAUAAUUAGCUCCAGUUGGUCCACCUCGUUCGCCAAUGGGUGCACAUAUUUUUAGAGAAGUUAAAAAUUAAAUAUUUUUAGCAUGCUAUAGCUUUAAAUGUUCUCCCAGAACCUCCUACAAACAGCACAGGAAACAGCUAGGAUUUUCAUAUAGUGUUCAAAUUUCGACCACCAUCUUCAAUUUACCGACAUCUAGAAUUUGUUCAGCAAAACGCGUCUUUAAACAAGUUGGUAACCAUCGAUUUUAAUUUUGAAACCGUCAUUUGAAAACUGAAAUAAAAAAUCCUCAAGAUACAUUAAGAAAUUUAGUUGUGAUGACUAAGGGGACCCUGCUGUACCAGCUACUAAUAUCUCCGAUAGUGAAAUUGCUACCCGAAACGAAAGUGGAACUGUCAGGCGGGCAGAAGCAACAGACGAUUGAUAGAAAACCUACUGCAUACACGUCGAAGUGAAUUUGCGAACCAAUCGUUGGAGUUUAGAAAGUUAAUUAUAGCUAUAUAAUCAAAAUUUGUUUUUUUUUUAUUCUCGCUCAUUUUCCGUCGGUCUAGUUCCGCCACUGUUGUUGUGCCAAUCACCGACGCCCAGGGAGGCGACUCCACCCAGGACCCUAACUAACGACCCGUUUAUUAACGGACCGGCGCCAACGGCUUUACUUCCUCAUGCGAUGGAAGGCGUGAUCCCAGAGAUUUUUCGCCUCAGAAAAUCUCCCGGUGCCGGCUAGGAUUGAAUCUAGACCAGUUGGGUUGGUUGUGAGUGGAUCACGCCACCUCACAACCAUCGACACCUAUGUCGGCGGUGGGAUUCGAACCCCGUCAUUAAAUAGAAUUAAAAUAGAUUCACAUAUAGGAUUGAGUUACGAAUACGUGAGUAAAAAUAAAUUAUAUAUAAAUCAAACCUAACAAACUGUGUCUGAGCAGGGAUUUGUGCGAAAGUGGAGAAAAAGGAGAACUUUGCCUGUAAUUUUGUAGUAAAGACCGAUUUAUGUAAGUUGCAAUAAAUAAUAUAAAAAAAUCAAUUAAAAAUAAAUAUUUCACAGCUAAAAGCUGCAU